This 330-nucleotide ribosomal RNA is filed under the name uncultured bacterium. RNAcentral's name for it is "bacterial SSU rRNA". It matches the Rfam family "Bacterial small subunit ribosomal RNA", at positions 568 to 898 of the family's 1533-position model. The record is from RNAcentral.
CGCGUAGGCGGCUCGCAAGGUCGGGGGUGAAAUCCCACGGCUUAACCGUGGAAGUGCCUUCGAUACCGGCGGGCUCGAGGAAGGUAGGGGUGCGCGGAACUUCUGGUGGAGCGGUGAAAUGCGUUGAUAUCAGAAGGAACGCCGGCGGCGAAAGCGGCGCACUGGACCUUUUCUGACGCUGAGGCGCGAAAGCCAGGGGAGCAAACGGGAUUAGAUACCCCGGUAGUCCUGGCCCUAAACGUUGGGCACUAGAUUGUGGGCUGUCAUGGGCUCACAGUCGAAGCAAAAGUGUUAAGUGCCCCGCCUGGGGAGUAUGGUCGCAAGGCUGAA